This 271-nucleotide ribosomal RNA is filed under the name uncultured prokaryote. RNAcentral describes it as "partial 16S ribosomal RNA". It matches the Rfam family "Bacterial small subunit ribosomal RNA", at positions 524 to 794 of the family's 1533-position model. The record is from RNAcentral.
UAUGUAGGUGGCAAGCGUUGUCCGGAUUUAUUGGGCGUAAAGGGAGCGCAGGUGGUUUCUUAAGUCUGAUGUGAAAGCCCACGGCUUAACCGUGGAGGGUCAUUGGAAACUGGGGAACUUGAGUGCAGAAGAGGAAAGUGGAAUUCCAAGUGUAGCGGUGGAAUGCGUAGAUAUUUGGAGGAACACCAGUGGCGAAGGCGACUUUCUGGUCUGUAACUGACACUGAGGCUCGAAAGCGUGGGGAGCGAACAGGAUUAGAUACUCGCGUAGU